RNAcentral lists this ribosomal RNA (398 nucleotides) under uncultured eukaryote. Its description in RNAcentral is "partial 18S ribosomal RNA". It matches the Rfam family "Eukaryotic small subunit ribosomal RNA", at positions 592 to 976 of the family's 1831-position model. The record is from RNAcentral.
CAAUAGCGUAUAUUAAUGUUGUUGCAGUUAAAAAGCUCGUAGUUGGAUUUCUGGUCGGGACGUCUGGCCGGCUCCGCAAGGGGUCGUUUGCAGGGACUGUUUCCCGACCAUCCUCAGGUAGACCAGCACUGGCAUUCACUUGUCGGUGUUGGAACGCCUGUCGUUUACUGUGAACAAAUUAGAGUGUUCAAAGCAAGGUUUUACUUGAAUACAUUAGCAUGGAAUAAUAAGAUAGGACUUUGGUGGUUCUUUUAUUAGAUAUUUUGUUGGUUUGCACGCCAAGGUAAUGAUUAAUAGGAGCAGUUGGGGGUAUUCGUAUUCAAUUGUCAGAGGUGAAAUUCUUGGAUUUAUAGAAGACGAACUACUGCGAAAGCAUUUACCAAGGAUGUUUNCAUUAA